This 427-nucleotide ribosomal RNA is filed under the name Acidobacteriota bacterium. RNAcentral describes it as "Acidobacteria bacterium partial 16S ribosomal RNA". It matches the Rfam family "Bacterial small subunit ribosomal RNA", at positions 355 to 776 of the family's 1533-position model. The record is from RNAcentral. Lineage: Bacteria; Pseudomonadati; Acidobacteriota.
UGGGGAAUUUUGGACAAUGGGGGAAACCCUGAUCCAGCCAUCCCGCGUGUGCGAUGAAGGCCUUCGGGUUGUAAAGCACUUUUGGCAGGAAAGAAACGUCAUGGGUUAAUACCCCGUGAAACUGACGGUACCUGCAGAAUAAGCACCGGCUAACUACGUGCCAGCAGCCGCGGUAAUACGUAGGGUGCAAGCGUUAAUCGGAAUUACUGGGCGUAAAGCGUGCGCAGGCGGUUCGGAAAGAAAGAUGUGAAAUCCCAGAGCUCAACUUUGGAACUGCAUUUUUAACUACCGGGCUAGAGUGUGUCAGAGGGAGGUGGAAUUCCGCGUGUAGCAGUGAAAUGCGUAGAUAUGCGGAGGAACACCGAUGGCGAAGGCAGCCUCCUGAUAACACUGACGCUCAUGCACGAAAGCGUGGGGAGCAAACAGG